GAUUGGUCAGAAGGUGUUUUGAAGGUAGUUCCGGCUGCAAGACAAAUCCUGUUUCUAUAGUAACUGCAACAUACAGGAACUUACUGUACUGCACAUAGUGGACGCAUAACAUAGAUGGAUGGAUUUUAAAAAGAUGUGUGAUCGUUGACACGGUGCACUUUUCUGUAAGGAGACGUUAUUUAACAUUUUUGGAAGGAGUCUCCAGUGUCAGCGCUUUAUACUCUAUAUCAGUCAGAGUGACGUGAUGAAAUCUUGUGCGAUCCCGCCCUGGGACGUUAAUCAUCCUAUUGUCUAGCAUAGAAGAAAAAUGAAGAAGAAGAAGAAGAAGAAGAAAGGUAUGUACAGUAUCUAGCGUUCGCUACUAUCCGGGGUUUCAGGCAUCCGCUGAGGGGCUUGGGCCCUAUCCCCCGCGCUUACGACGGUCCUACUGUAUUUCAUUCAUUCAUCACCCAUGACCUUCUCAUGCUACACAACAUAUUUGCUGCUAUAGCUAUUCGUGUGUGCUUCAGUAUAGACGGUCCACUGGGAUGCAGUGUUCAACUUGAGGAUGGGCCUACCUCAGUAAAAAAUUUUAAUAUGCUCGAUGCAGGAUUCUGAGUCUGAUUAGAAGUUAGCUUAACCGUGACACUCCAAGGCUAAACAUGAAUGAUCGACCCACAGCACGCAGGAAAAUUCCUUGUCGUCCCGAAAAAAAAAACCCACCAUAAGAAAGCAUAUCCAGGAAUUCCAGCCGUCCUCGCACCCUCCCAGAGCCCCGUCUUGAUGAGGCUGCUCUCAAUGAGAAGACAAUUGAGUUCAGUCACAGCACCAUUACCAGCAGGAGUUAUGAGAGAUUCUUCGCGGGAUAACGAUCACACGGUUUUUUUUUUUCCCUCAUGUCACCGAAAGCCAUGAAAAUGUGUUUCAUUACGAACUUUCGACAGGAUGUCAUUUCUAAGACGGCCUUGGCUGGCCGGGGUCUCCCCCCCACCCUUGUGAAUUUCCAACGAAAAAAGUCUUCCCCUUUGAAUAUGCCUCCUCUGUAUUUAAUAAGUAUAAUCACCGAAUAAUGACGGAAGACAUAUUUUACCACAGCAUUCUCAUUCGCUGUGUGCGGCUCGUCUGAACUUCUCGGCGAGAUUAUUUCCCCAUGCAGAAAACAACAUUGUUGAGAGGGAAACACAUGUUAUGGGAAGAGAAAGAACAAAGCCAUGGUUGGUGAGGGCUAGAGAGAGCGAGGCUUAUAUUGUUUUGUUUUUUUCUUUCUUUCUUUCGCUGGAAAAUUCUUUGUCUCUGAAACUCCUCUAAGAGACAGUCACACUUUUGUCAGUUUAAGUGCAAAGUCAAGUUUUACUGAAAGUUUUUUUUUUUUCUUCACACAGUCACUGGCAUGCUGAGGUAUUUUUGAAGAAUGCAGUUUAUUUUUGUGCACCAGCUCGCUUUGCUUUCGUGCAAGUUUAACGUAUGUUUUUUUUUUUCGCAAAAAGACAAAAAGAUGUGUGAGUGUUAGGAGUCUGAGCUUCAUCUACAGCAUAGAAACAUAAUAAACAUAUAUAGCAUCUUACCGAAGUUACUUUCCUAAUCUUGAAUAGUAAUGUGAUUGUGUGUGUGUGUGUGUGUGUGUGUGUGUGUGUGUUAAGAUUGGGAGGUGUUUAAAAAUUGCAUAAAACAAUGACAUUUGCAUAAAAUAAAAGAUAUUCAAAAAUAUACGAGUAUAAUAUAUACUAUACAGUGAGGGAAAAAAGUAUUUGAUCCCCUGCUGAUUUUGUACGUUUGCCCACUGACAAAGAAAUGAUCAGUCUAUAAUUUUAAUGGUAGUUGUAUUUGAACAGUGAGAGACAGAAUAACAACAAAAAAAUCCAGAAAAACGCAUGUCAAAAAUUU
Long non-coding RNA from Ictalurus furcatus (blue catfish), 1863 nucleotides. RefSeq lists it as uncharacterized. NCBI's taxonomy places the organism in Eukaryota, Metazoa, Chordata, Actinopteri, Siluriformes, Ictaluridae. The transcript has 5 exons. The record is from RefSeq and is a predicted model, not a curated record.